Molecule: unclassified non-coding RNA, 240 nt
Filed under: soil metagenome
Description: partial contains 5.8S ribosomal RNA, internal transcribed spacer 2, and large subunit ribosomal RNA
Source: RNAcentral
AACUGAUACUACCUGCGGGAACCUGCGGAAGGAUCAUUAUUGAUUUUAACAGGAUGUGCUGGCUCUCAAGGGCAAUGUGCACUCCUAAUAAAACCAAUUAUCCACCUGUGCACCUUAAGUAGACUAGUAGGACUCCAUCACAGUCCUUCUGGUCUAUGUUCUUUCACAAACCUUUUUGAAAUGUAAAUGAAUGAUCAUCUGUAUAAUUAAUAACAACUUUUAACAACGGAUCUCUAGAUC